GGGGGCGACCUGGUUUCGACGUGGGUUGCGAAGCAGUGCAGUGCAUGCCAAGGCCCAGUUACCUUGUUAAUACAGCUGGAAAACGUAUAGUCGCAAACGACGAACGUUACGCUCUAGCCGCUUAAUACCGGCUGGACUCCGCACCGGUUCUCUCAUGGGCCGGGCUGGGCAACCAGCAGUGGAGCCAUAUACGUGAGAUCGUGCUGUAGCGGGUUACUUGCUGCAGUGUUAAAACCAAGGUAACUCGCUGCUUCCCAGCCUGUCGGCCGGCGUGGAAGCGGUUAGAUCAAAUGACCAGACUAAGCAUGUAGUACUGCCUGUAGAGGGCUUGCGGACGCGGGUUCGAUUCCCGCCGCCUCCACCA
This 364-nucleotide transfer-messenger RNA is filed under the name Burkholderiales bacterium. It matches the Rfam family "transfer-messenger RNA". Rfam says of the family: Bacterial tmRNA, also known as 10Sa RNA or SsrA, is named for its dual tRNA and mRNA-like properties. Lineage: Bacteria; Pseudomonadati; Pseudomonadota; Betaproteobacteria; Burkholderiales. The record is from RNAcentral.